This 279-nucleotide ribosomal RNA is filed under the name uncultured bacterium. RNAcentral's name for it is "partial 16S ribosomal RNA". It matches the Rfam family "Bacterial small subunit ribosomal RNA", at positions 506 to 784 of the family's 1533-position model. The record is from RNAcentral.
UGCCAGCCGCCGCGGUAAUACGGAAAGUGCAAACAUUGUUCGGAAUUAUUGGGCGUAAAGCGCGUGUAAGCGGUUCGUUAAGUCUGAUGUGAAAGCCCGGGGCUCAACCCCGGAAGUGCAUUGGAAACUGGCGAACUUGAGUACGGGAGAGGAAAGUGGAAUUCCGAGUGUAGGGGUGAAAUCCGUAGAUAUUCGGAGGAACACCAGUGGCGAAGGCGGCUUUCUGGACCGAUACUGACGCUGAGACGCGAAAGCGUGGGGAGCAAACAGGAUUAGAUA